RNAcentral lists this ribosomal RNA (497 nucleotides) under uncultured bacterium. RNAcentral describes it as "partial 16S ribosomal RNA". It matches the Rfam family "Bacterial small subunit ribosomal RNA", at positions 28 to 507 of the family's 1533-position model. The record is from RNAcentral.
GAUGAACGCUGGCGGCGUGCCUAAUACAUGCAAGUCGAGCGAACAGACGAGGAGCUUGCUCCUUUGAUGUUAGCGGCGGACGGGUGAGUAACACGUGGAUAACCUACCUAUAAGACUGGGAUAACUUCGGGAAACCGGAGCUAAUACCGGAUAACAUGUUGAACCGCAUGGUUCAACAGUGAAAGACGGUCUUGCUGUCACUUAUAGAUGGAUCCGCGCCGCAUUAGCUAGUUGGUAAGGUAACGGCUUACCAAGGCAACGAUGCGUAGCCGACCUGAGAGGGUGAUCGGCCACACUGGAACUGAGACACGGUCCAGACUCCUACGGGAGGCAGCAGUAGGGAAUCUUCCGCAAUGGGCGAAAGCCUGACGGAGCAACGCCGCGUGAGUGAAGAAGGUCUUCGGAUCGUAAAACUCUGUUAUUAGGGAAGAACAAAUGUGUAAGUAACUAUGCACGUCUUGACGGUACCUAAUCAGAAAGCCACGGCUAACUACGUG